CACAUGCAAGUCGAGCGGUAACAUUUCAAAAGCUUGCUUUUGAAGAUGACGAGCGGCGGACGGGUGAGUAAUGCCUGGGAAUUUGCCCAUUCGAGGGGGAUAACAGUUGGAAACGACUGCUAAUACCGCAUACGCCCUACGGGGGAAAGGAGGGGACCUUCGGGCCUUCCGCGAAUGGGAUAAGCCCAGGUGGGAUUAGCUAGUAGGUGAGGUAAUGGCUCACCUAGGCGACGAUCCCUAGCUGUUCUGAGAGGAUGAUCAGCCACACUGGGACUGAGACACGGCCCAGACUCCUACGGGAGGCAGCAGGUGGGGAAUAUUGCACAAUGGGCGAAAGCCUGAUGCAGCCAUGCCGCGUGUGUGAAGAAGGCCUUCGGGUUGUAAAGCACUUUCAGCGAGGAGGAAAGGUUACUGGCUAAUAUCCNGUAGCUGUGACGUUACUCGCAGAAGAAGCACCGGCUAACUCCGUGCCAGCAGCCGCGGUAAUACGGAGGGUGCGAGCGUUAAUCGGAAUUACUGGGCGUAAAGCGUGCGCAGGCGGUUUGUUAAGCGAGAUGUGAAAGCCCCGGGCUCAACCUGGGAACUGCAUUUUGAACUGGCAAACUAGAGUCUUGUAGAGGGGGUAGAAUUCC
Molecule: ribosomal RNA, 632 nt
Filed under: Shewanella sp. Fun-119
Lineage: Bacteria; Pseudomonadati; Pseudomonadota; Gammaproteobacteria; Alteromonadales; Shewanellaceae
Description: bacterial SSU rRNA
Rfam family: Bacterial small subunit ribosomal RNA
Source: RNAcentral